AGAUUGAACGCUGGCGGCAUGCCUAACACAUGCAAGUCGAACGGGAGUAGCAAUACUCUAGUGGCGGACGGGUGAGGAAUACGUAGGAAUUUGCCCUUAAGUGGGGGAUAACCCGGGGAAACCCGGAUUAAUACCGCAUGACCUCGAAAGGGCAAAGUGGGGGAUCGCAAGACCUCACGCUUUUGGAGAAGCCUACGUCGGAUUAGCUAGUUGGUGAGGUAAUGGCUCACCAAGGCGACGAUCCGUAACUGGUCUGAGAGGAUGAUCAGUCACACCGGAACUGAGACACGGUCCGGACUCCUACGGGAGGCAGCAGUGGGGAAUAUUGGACAAUGGGCGCAAGCCUGAUCCAGCAAAUGCCGCGUGUGUGAAGAAAGGCCUCGGUGUUAAGUACUAC
This 397-nucleotide ribosomal RNA is filed under the name uncultured soil bacterium. Its description in RNAcentral is "bacterial SSU rRNA". It matches the Rfam family "Bacterial small subunit ribosomal RNA", at positions 26 to 436 of the family's 1533-position model. The record is from RNAcentral.